CAGCCGCCACGGUAAUACGUAGGUGGCAAGCGUUGUCCGGAAUUAUUGGGCGUAAAGGGCUCGCAGGCGGUUUCUUAAGUCCGAUGUGAAAGCCCCCGGCUCAACCGUGGAGGGUCAUUGGAAACUGUUAAACUUGAGUGCAGGAGAGAAAAGUGGAAUUCCUAGUGUAGCGGUGAAAUGCGUAGAGAUUAGGAGGAACACCAGUGGCGAAGGCGGCUUUUUGGCCUGUAACUGACACUGAGGCGCGAAAGCGUGGGGAGCAAACAGGAUUAGAGACCCCAGUAGUCCCUGUCUCUUAUAC
RNAcentral lists this ribosomal RNA (301 nucleotides) under uncultured bacterium. RNAcentral describes it as "partial 16S ribosomal RNA". It matches the Rfam family "Bacterial small subunit ribosomal RNA", at positions 509 to 807 of the family's 1533-position model. The record is from RNAcentral.